AGAACGAACGCUGGCGGCGUGGAUAAGACAUGCAAGUCGAACGGAGUAUUUUUGAAGCUUGCUUUAAAAAUGCUUAGUGGCGAACGGGUGAGUAACACGUGAGUUACCUGCCCCGAAGCGGGGGAUAGCCCGAAGAAAUUCGGAUUAAUACCCCAUGUGAUCGAAAGAUUAAAGGUGGCGUAAGCUGUCGCUUCGGGAUGGGCUCGCGGCCUAUCAGCUUGUUGGUGAGGUAAUGGCUCACCAAGGCGAUGACGGGUAGCUGAUCUGAGAGGAUGAUCAGUCACACUGGAACUGAGACACGGUCCAGACACCGUACGGGUGCAGCAGUCGAGAAUCAUUCGCAAGUGGGCGAAAGCCUGACGGUGCGACGCCGCGGUGGAGGAUGGAACGGCCCGUAAGGGUCGUAAACUCCUGUCAUCGAAGGAGUAAGUGGACUCGAUAAUAGUAACUAGAUAGUGGUCUUAGAUAGUAACCUAGGAAGAGGAAGGGACGGAC
This 495-nucleotide ribosomal RNA is filed under the name uncultured soil bacterium. RNAcentral describes it as "bacterial SSU rRNA". It matches the Rfam family "Bacterial small subunit ribosomal RNA", at positions 26 to 498 of the family's 1533-position model. The record is from RNAcentral.